AAUUUAUCUUUCUCGUUAUUUGGCCUUUUGCUUCGAAUCACACCGUUGCGGAAGGUUUCCUCGGUUGGUUUUCUUGAUUUUUCAUUACUACUACAUUCUUUCUAAAAUUUCCACAGAGUCGAUUGUCUGUUGAAGCUUGUAUGCGCCCCAACUGUUCUUUCUAAUCCUUUGUGCCGUCUUCAGGUCCCUACCUUUCAGGUUUCGAGCUCUGAUUUCUUCUUCUUUUUCUUUGGUUCGAUUCUUUUCUUUUUCUGUCUCGGUUUAGUUCUUUUAUCAAAGUUGGUUAUAUUUGCUCAUUUUAUUGAUUAUUCUUUUAGUUUGUUAAACCACGGCGGACAAAUUUGCUGCUUAAGUGGAAAUUUCCGUAAAUUUACUUGUAAACAUGUUUUUUCAAUUCUCGAAUUAUCUGUAAAUAAAGGAAGAAAACGAAACCCUAGAACUAGCUGUUCGAGAAGAAAAAAAAAACUAUGACUUAUAAUUGUUCCCUUAGAAUUGGUUUCUUUGCUGUAAAGGUCAGAAUGACUGUUUUCGGUUUCUUGAAUUAUGUAUAAAGAAAGAAACAAACAAAAAAAACUAGAAUGAGGUGUUCAAUAAUAAA
This 598-nucleotide long non-coding RNA is filed under the name Phoenix dactylifera (date palm). RNAcentral's name for it is "long non-coding RNA (PDAC_LNC020564)". Lineage: Eukaryota; Viridiplantae; Streptophyta; Magnoliopsida; Arecales; Arecaceae. The record is from RNAcentral.